CCGCGGGCUCCCCCCUGUGGCCCUUUCACUCAGUGCUCCUUUCAUUCACUCCCUUCGAGCGCCUCCUGUGUGCUUGGCGGUGGGCGCUUUUGGAGAUGGAGCUCCCAGUGCCGUGCGGAUGUCACAGACCAGGGCCGACUGGACAGUGCAUUGUGAUCUGGGCUGUGGCACUGCAGUGAUGGGCUGUGGGAACACCGGGCAAGAUCCCUGUCCCGCCAGAGCUAAGGGGUCUUGGAAGCCUUUCCAAAGCUAUUCCUGGAGGUUCCACCAGGACAAAGGACUACUGUCAGAACCAAAAGAAUCAAGCUGGCUGACAAUGCACCUUGACCAGAAGUGGGCCGCUCAUCCUCAGCGUCUCUGGCCGGUCUCAUCUGUGGGACUAAGUUCUUUGGCUUUUGCACACUAAAUGUGGCUCUUGGCCAAGCUGAUUUCUGUUUCCGAUUGAGCAUGAUCAUGUCUGGCUGAUCAUGUCCACACUUGGUGGCAGCAGGGAUUGAAUCUGGGGUUUAAUUUUAUCAUCUCACCAUUAAGUCAUUUCUGUCAGGUGGCAAAUGUCAGAAAUUAGGUCCUUAUCAGCUGCCAUCAGCAGCUGGAAUCUGGUUUCGCUCUUAGUCUUUUUUGUCCGAGGAUUCUGUUAUUUCCUGAAAUUUGAGAACGCAGCAUUGAAAGGAUUUUGGUGUUUCCCCAACUAUUGAUAGAUGUGUUUGUAUGAUCUCUGUGUGCCAAAAUGGCGGGGGGGGAAGGUCUUCUAAAGUGUCUUACCUAAGAGAAGCCUUUGAAUAAAAAGUGAAUCAAAUUCAUAGCACAUAAUAAUCAACUUUCAUUUCUCUAAACAAAUUAAAGUCUCUUUAUGACUUCUGAAAUAAGGCUAAAGAAAGGAGACUGCCAUUUUGCAAAGGGUAUGGACACUGAAAAGAAAUAACUGUCCUGCUAAAUAGAGAAAGAAAUUACAAAAUUACUCAGAUUUUCAGUAAAGGUGUUCUUUUGAAAGACCUAAUGGUGCUUAAUUAUGUCCUAUGUAUUUUAAUUACAUAUUGUACAUAUCUUGUUUCUUUAACUGAUCACAUUUGUAAUAGAUAUGGAUACUUAUUUCUAUCCUAGAUUUUGUUGCUUUAUCAAUAUUGGCUCUUCUAGUUUUGAAUAAGUUGAGAAAAUUUUCCAUUUUAUAAAUAUAAAAUAUUUCUAAAUAAACAAAUUGAUGUACUUUGUAUACUUCUGAAGAGAGUUAAAAUAUCGUAUUAUGAGAUCUCUUAAAAUGGAGCUAACUCCCAUUCCAACUGGCUUUUAGAAACAAUAUUAACACAUUAAAGACAUGUAAAAAGAAAUGGAAAAAAUAUUAUUCUUCCUUAUCUAUUUAAUAUAUUGGCUCUUUAAAAUUUUUUCCUUGGCAAAUAUAUAAAUCAAAGAUUAAAAAAAGCUUUACCUGUUAAAAUAAUAUUCUUGGUUACUAGGUUACAAAGUAUGAAACAAAACAUAAUUCUAUAAGAUAACGAGGUCAUGUGACAUUCUUAUGCAAGAUGACUCUUUGGAAAAACCAAUCUGUUAUAAAAAUUUAAAAACAUGUUUUCUUCCUAAUUUUACCUCCAAUUACAAAUAAUGUUAGCAAAAUAUCCUAGUUUAUACAAGUUUUGGGUUUGUUUUCUCACAAAAAGCCUAAUCAUUUUGAAUUUGAUUUUUUUUUUUACUGCUUUUGUAGAUUAGAUAAACUAAUAUCACUCUAAGAUUAUGAAAUUUCAAAAAUUACGUGUUCAACUAAAUUAGAAUGAAUAAUAGGUAAUGUGUUUCUAAAAAGAAAUUAGGUUUUAGAAUGCUAUAAAUCAUAAGGACUUAAUGUGUCAACUCGAAUUUUAAUCUUCUGAUUCUCAGUUAACAUAAGACUUUACUAAUAUUAAUUUGAGUUAAUAAAGUCUGUUGACACCUGUAUAUAAUUUUAAUAUGCUUAGGCUCUUCAUUAAUACAUUAUAGAAUAGCUAUCAAUAAACAGUCAAAAAAUAUAUGAAAAUAAAUACCUUUGGGUUAAAGUACACACAUUUUUUUUACAGAAUGUAAAGGACUGUGUGAUGGUAUGAAGAUGUGUAUGCAAGAUAACGUUUUUGUUUGUCAAGGGAAAAUAAUGAAUAAUUUUGUCUAAAUUCCUAAUAAUUAUUGUUGUGCUUUAAAAAUAUUGCUUUUAGAUAAAUUAAGGUCUCUGGAGAUUUGUUUAUCGUCUUCACUAUUUUGAGGUAACAGUUAAUUACAUCUUUAUAAAUUGAUUAUUUAUUAUACCCCAUUCUUUCCAAUAUUGUUGAUAUUAUAAUAAAAGAACCAGAAUCCCUUAAUCUUAUCCUCCACUGCUGGUUUCUGCCUUUUUCUUAUAUUUGCCUAAAGGCUCCUGGUACCAAGCUAAAAAUCAAGAAUUGAAUCUUUCAUAAGAAAUAUAACAAGGACCUCAGUGAAGGACUAUUAUCUGAUACUCUUGACAAUUGUCUUCAUGGUAUAAUUCAUGGGUAUAACGGAUAUCAUCACCUCAGACAAUCACCUCUUAAGACUGAACCAAGUAACCGAGUCAGGAUGUCCAGGAAUGUUUCAGUGCAGGAGCAGACAUGUGGCAAUAGGCUGCCUAACCCAAGAUCAACAAAAUGAGAAUUAACUACUGCAGACUAAACAGACUAAAUGAAUUGACUUAAUUAUGGUUAUUCUAUUUUUAAUGACUUUUAAAAUCAUUUCUUCUUAAUAUAUCGCUAACACUCAACAGGUUAAAACCAAAAUAAAAUUCCUUUAAAAUGGCAUCUAUUUCUAAGUGAACUAUCAGAACUGAAAGAAAAGAAUCCUUAAUAUCAAUCAUAAACAAAUAAAACAUCAGACCAAUUUAAAAAUAAUAAUUCUGUAAAAAAAUAACAUAUUUGUUGGCCUUGUUCUAUAAGACGAUGAUAAAAAUGGUUAAAUGUUAUGCAGUGGCUUAAGACAGUCCAGCCUCAGAGUUGUAAAGACUAUGAGCUCCUGGCAGAUCAGGAGCAUUAAUAAACAUGGAACCUCUGAGAAAGAGGAUACCUUACAGCUGUAAGUAUUGUAAGUAAAACCUGGUACCAGUGAAUCACAUGGUUCUUGGUUCCUAAUCUAGUAGAACUAAUAAAGAGAAUAAGGUAUUUCUGACAAAUAAAAGUAAAUUUUAACCUCGGGGCCUUUACAAAACCCUUUAUGGGAAGACAGAAAUUACCUCUGGAGGCUGAAUUCUGUUGCUCUAGUUUUGUUAACCAUACAAAAGGUCUUUAUGUAUUAAACAAAAUCUCCUGUUAGCUAUGCAGAUAAAACUGCCAAAUAAAAAAAUAUGUCAAACUAAUGACACUAAAUCACAAGCUCAUUGGGCAAGUUAUGUUGUUGGAACUGUCCUUAAUGGCAGGAACUUGACUGCAAGGAGAGACUGUGGAAUCAAGAACUCUCGCUUUGUCUUGCUUUCCUAUCACUAACAUGCCAAAGUAAACAAAAGGAAAACAAAAAAUAAACACCAAACAAAAAUCCACUUUGUACCCUGAGUGUAACAAAAAUAACUUGAUCACUCUGAUUGGUUCUGGUCCCCUAAAUAAUAAAACCUUUACUAUUUCUUAGAAACCUGGACUCCCUAACCAAACAUUUUUAUUCCUAAUUUUUGUUAUGCUGAUGUCUCAAGAUAGUUCUGACCUUUGUGGAUUUGAUGAUCACGUGAGACAGUUGCUGUUUUCUCUUCAAAAACAGACCAAUGUAAACUUAAUGAUAAUUUUGUGAGUACUUUCCCCCUUUAAAUACCUGUUCUUUUUUGUAUUUGGUGACUUCCUUGCAUUCUUGGCAAGUAAAAUUUUUUCUAAAUGCUU
Molecule: long non-coding RNA, 3827 nt
Organism: Pteropus alecto (black flying fox)
Lineage: Eukaryota; Metazoa; Chordata; Mammalia; Chiroptera; Pteropodidae
Exons: 2
Source: RefSeq, a predicted model, not a curated record